GCAAAGUCGGGGCCUGCGGCGGCGUGAAUACGGAGGGUCCAAGGGUUAUCCGGAAGCAUUCGGUUUAAAGGGUCCGUAAGCAGCUUAGUAAGUCAGCGGUUAAAGUUUGCAGCUUAACUGUAAAAUUGCCAUUGAUACUGUUAGGCUUGAAUUAUUGUGAAGUAACUAGAAUAUGUAGUGUAGCGGUGAAAUGCUUAGAUAUUACAUGGAAUACCAAUUGCGAAGGCAGGUUACUAACAAUGGAUUGACGCUGAUGGACGAAAGCGUGGGUAGCGAACAGGAUUAGAUACCCGGGUAGUC
RNAcentral lists this ribosomal RNA (300 nucleotides) under uncultured bacterium. RNAcentral describes it as "bacterial SSU rRNA". It matches the Rfam family "Bacterial small subunit ribosomal RNA", at positions 496 to 795 of the family's 1533-position model. The record is from RNAcentral.